RNAcentral lists this ribosomal RNA (253 nucleotides) under uncultured bacterium. RNAcentral's name for it is "partial 16S ribosomal RNA". It matches the Rfam family "Bacterial small subunit ribosomal RNA", at positions 524 to 776 of the family's 1533-position model. The record is from RNAcentral.
GACAGAGGGUGCAAACGUUGUUCGGAAUUACUGGGCGUAAAGCGCGUGUAGGCGGCCCUGUAAGUCGGGUGUGAAAUCCCACGGCUCAACCGUGGAAGUGCAUUCGAAACUACAGGGCUAGAGUUCUGGAGAGGAAGGUGGAAUGCUUGGUGUAGAGGUGAAAUUCGUGGAUAUCAAGCGGAACACCGGUGGCGAAGGCGGCCUUCUGGACAGUAACUGACGCUGAGACGCGAAAGCGUGGGGAGCAAACAGG